AAUGCUUUUUGCCCUGUAUGAAUUAUCAUGUGUGUUUCCAGGUUGCUCUUUUGUCCAAACCUUUUACCGCACUCAGAACAGACAAAUGCUUUUUGUCCUGUAUGAAUUCUCAUGUGUGUUUCCAGGUGGCUCUUACGUCCAAAUCGUUGUCCACACUCAGAACAGACAAAUGCUUUUUCUCCUGUAUGAAUUAUCAUGUGUGUUUUCAGGUUGCCCUUUCGUCCAAAUCUUUGUCCACACUCAGAACAGACAAAUGGUUUCUGCCGUGUCUGAAUUCUAAUGUCUUUGUUCAGAGUGCCCUUAUGUUUCUGUCCUUUACUCCCAUCAGAACAGCUAAACGGUUUUCUUCUUGCUUUCCUCCCCUUUUGUUGCUCUGAGUUGUUCAUGCGACCAGAUGCUUUUCCAUAUUUAGAGCCUUUAAAUUGUUUCUUAUCAGUGUUGUCUGAAUGAACAAUACUGGUAUUUUUCUGACAGUUAAAACUUGACUGAAGUUCUCUGGUCUGUUUCCAGUCUUC
This is a long non-coding RNA of Thalassophryne amazonica, 515 nucleotides long. RefSeq lists it as uncharacterized. The record is from RefSeq and is a predicted model, not a curated record. Lineage: Eukaryota; Metazoa; Chordata; Actinopteri; Batrachoidiformes; Batrachoididae. The transcript is spliced from 2 exons.